AGAGGUCAGUGGCACAAGGAUUGCCUUGUUUUAUCAUAAAGGAGGGAGGUUGUUGAGGCAACAUUGGAAACCAGGAAUAAGUUACCAGGGGUUUGUGGAAAGUAGUGGCACCAAAAUGGACAGACUGAGACUGCAGAUCAGACUGACAUCAAGAUAACAGCUGGGAGGUGACUGUGGGUUAAAUAUUCAUGGAUUAUUCAUUCUAUUUUCCUUGGGAAUACACAGAAGACUCUUCCAGGCACUGGCUUAUGCAGCUGUAAAAGAGACAUGUGCUACCUCUCUCCAGGUAUCCAGAAAAGGCCCUGGUUCCUAAGACAAUUCAAGGUCAAGAGAACAAAAAAUAAAUUGAAAAAGGAUUAAAUCUCAGAAGACCUCUAUGAAGAUGACUACAAAACUUUACUGAAGAACUUAAAAGAAUGCCACAUGCCUGGAUGGAAUAAAUAUCAUAAAUAAGAGAAUCAUCCCUAAAGUAAUCAAUAUAUUCAAUGCAAUUACAACCCCAAUUAAACAGGAUUGUUCAAUAAAAUUCGUCAAACUGGUUGCAAGAUUCAUUGUGAAGAAAAAAAUGUUUAAGAAUGGGCUAGCCAGUUUUGAAAAUGAGUAAUAUAUAGAGACUUAGUUCACCAGUCAUUGAGACAUACCAGAAAGCUACCAUCUUUAGAACAGUUUAGAGUGGGCACCAGAACAGACAGAACCACCAAUGGGAAAGAAUAAAGACAAACAUACAUAAACAUUUAGUAUAUGAUAAAAGAAACAUCUCACUAAAAUGUGGACAAUUCAGGUGGAACUCACGGGAUGUUAUUUUUAGUAAGAUAAAAAAGAAUACUUUUAUCACAUCCUAUACAAAAUAAAGUUCCAGAUGGAAUAAGGAAUUAAACAUAAACACUAUACAGGGAGUUAAAAGAAAGUCUAAAAGACCAGACAUGGUGGCUCACACCUGUAACUCCAGCACUUUGGGAAGCCCAGACAGGCGGAUCACUUGAAUCCAGGAGUUUGAGACCAACCUGGCCAACAUGGGGAAACUCCACCUCUACUAAAUAUACAAAAAAUAGCCAGGUGUGGUGGUGUGUACUUGUAGUCCCAGCUACUCAGGAGGCUGAUGUGGGAGAAAUGCUUGAACCCCAGAAGCAGAGGUUGCAGUGAGCCUAGAUUACACAACUGCACUCCAGCCUGGGUGACAGAGCCAGACUCCAUCUCAAAAAAAAAAAGUAUAAGAGAGUGUUUUCAUGCCUUAGAGUGGGAAAGACAUAUAUAAAAUGUAGUCAAAAGCUCAAGACAACAACCUCCAAACAGAAAGAAAAAGAUGGUCAGAUUUGAGUUCGAAAAUUUUAAAACCUCAAUAAGAUAAAACAAGUACCCAUAGAGUUAAAAAUCAGUGGAGGACUGGAGGGCGGGAUGUCACAUAUAAUUAAUUGGCAUCUAGAAAUCGAUUUUUAAAUAUAGAAAAGGGCAAGAGUUAUAAACAGACAAUUCCCUGAAGACAAAAUAAAUUGGUCAAUAAACAUAUGAAAAAUAUAUACUCAUUUAUAAUCAGAGAAAUACUAAUCAAAAUGACUAGGAGGUCAGCCAAAUUGGCAAAAAAUAAGUCUUGAUAACAUCAUCGGGCCAGUGUGUGGAGAAGCCUGAUGUGCACUGCUGUGAGGAGUGUAGACUGGCCAAGGCCUCUGGGAAAGCACUUUGUAAUAUCGAUUGGUUCUAAGUGCAUGCACCCAGUAGCCCAGCAAUUCUAUUUCUGGGUUAAUUUCCUCCACAAAUAUAGGGAUAUGCAUUUUUGUGGCAGUACUGUUGUUUAUAUUAAUGAAACUGAAUGGGCCUGAAUGCCCACCCACAGGGAACUGUAUACUCCAUAGAGGUUGCUAGGGCCUCCCUGUCCAAAUCUGUUCUCUUCUCAAGUCACACAGAGGACACCUUUUCCAGCCACCUUGCAUGGAAAGCACACAACUAGUUCUAAUCAACAAAAUGAGAUCCUUCCCAUCUUACCUGGGGUUCUACCAUUAAUUUGGUGUCAGAUCAUAUGAGAGGCAAUAAUCCUCCUCCUUCCUAAGGGAAGAAGACUAGCACUGAGGGUGAAGAGCUGGAGACCUGAAUCUAGUCAGGCCUAGAAGGAAAUAUGGGCUUUGCUGCUCACUAAAGUGUGAACUUGGGCAAGUCAUUUAGCCCUUCUGGGCCUCAAUUCCCUCAUCUAUAAAUUAGAACAUCUAUAAAUUAGUUGUAGUCCCUGUCUUAUACUCUGCAAGUUUAAUUGAGAAAAACCAGAUCAGAGGCUUAGCACAGGACCUAAACUGUAGCAACACUUUAACAAAUGUCAGUUAUCACUGUUAGGGGUAUGCAUGUGUGUUCUUGCUUCAAUCAGCUAUCACUGCAUAUUGGAGCGCCAUGGCACAUAGCAUGGUAAUGGUGUCCGGUCUCUGUCUCUGAAGCCUUGGUGCUUCAUAGCCUGACCUGUGCAGAGGGGUGUGGGAUGGGCAUGGCUAACAUCACAGAGCCUCAUGAAGACCCUGUCCCUGGGUAUGGGCACAAAGCCUGCCUUUCACUUACAGUGAGAGUCAGUUCUCACCUGGUGCUCAGUUCCUCUUUGCUGGCUGGUAGAUGACAAUCUCUUGUGAGAAUUGAGUGGCUCUCCUCCAUUGCUCACUGAGUACUGGUGGGGCAUGGCAGUGACCAAGGCUUUCCACUGACUAUUGACCCCAACCCAUCUCGGCCCCCACCUUCUGGGCACAUCUGGCCCAGAAGAGCCAGCCUACACUCGGCUUUAUCUCACUACACAGCUGCCAUGCAGGUACACUUCAACCUGCAUCACUCAGCAUCCUUUGUCACCAUUUCCAAGGUAAGAAGAGCUCUAAAAUGACUCAGAGAAGCUGCUUAAAAGGCCAUCUUGGGCAUCUCCUGAAAGUCUAAGCUAUAGCCAAGGAGGGGCCAGCACACCAUUCCUAUUAGUACUAUUAUCACAACCUACUAGUCUCCAGAAUGGGGAGUGGGGACAGAUUGACCUUUGUGUUCAACUGGCCUCUAGUUCUCUAUUCUUCACUCUCCUGAAGACAAGUCACCCUUCUUGAUGUGGCUUCAGAGCCAGAGAACUAUUGAAAUGGGUGGAGGUAGUCUCUGGCACAGGGUGGAGGAACUCAUAGGCCUUCUGUAGUUUGACUUCAGACUGCAGUUGCUCUAUGUCUUCAAAAUCAUCAGUGAUUAUUUUUACAUUGAAAAGUCCAGAUUUUAAGCCCACAGCCAAUCCCAUAUCAUAGCAGUUCUCAGGUGUCUGGCUCAGACUUGGCAUUUUCCAGCCAAUUGUGGGGAAAGCAUCUCAGAAAAAAACAGACACACAGUUUCAAAAUAAAUCACUACAAAAUGCUGGCUUUCACAACCUAUGGCAAACACAAUCCAGAAAGCAUGGACUUGCUCAAACUGACUAUAAGACCCAUUGCUGUCCACUUUGCAUGCUUCCUACAUUAUUCAGAAACCAUCUUGGCAGGUAUCACCAGCACCUUUUUGUGUACUUUCAGUUAUAGAGAGAUCACUAAUUAGCCAGGCAGCCUCUGUUCUUUCUGGAUAUCAUUCAGAAUCUGCCUUUAUGCCAAGUGGAAAGUGGCUUCCCUCUAAAUCUCUGAUGAGAGACAAAGACGCUGGGAUCCCUGGUCUUUAUCAAACCCAAGUGAAGCUAUCAGUGAGGUGUGGAGGUUUCUGGUUGUAGCAUCCACAUGACAGCCACAUGUAUUACCAAACCAGGGAAUCUGAAAAGCCACAGUACUGGUUUGAGAAAAAUUGGUUGGUACCAGAUUUCCAAUAUGGCAGCUGGAGACUUGGAGAAUGAAGGAGAGUAUAGAUGGUCUCCAAGAAAUGUCAGGAAAUACACUGGUCCAUGAGAGGUUAGAAGGCUGCAAACUCAGAUGUGGGGACAGACUUUGAGAAACAUAUUGAUGAAAGGUGGAUAUACAGCCAGGGCCCCACCCAGUGCAAUGGGAUUCAGGGUAGAUUCUGAAACUGGCUUUGAGACAGGAUCAUUGGUCAGCAAGGGGGGGUGCAGUGGAUCAAUACAGGUUCCAGGACUGACUGGCAGUGGUGACUCUGAAAAGUGACAGCCAAGAGGACACUGGCAAGAGAUCAAGGAGUGAGCUACAGCUCAGAUCCCACUGUGAAAUUUGGGCUUGGUCUCUGGUCAAAUUAAAUCAGGACCUGGCGCCAUUAGCAUGAAUGGGAGAGGGAAGA
This is a long non-coding RNA of Callithrix jacchus (white-tufted-ear marmoset), 4203 nucleotides long. RefSeq lists it as uncharacterized. The record is from RefSeq and is a predicted model, not a curated record. NCBI's taxonomy places the organism in Eukaryota, Metazoa, Chordata, Mammalia, Primates, Cebidae.